CAGUCGCCGCGGGAAUACGUAGGUGGCGAGCGUUGUCCGGAAUUAUUGGGCGUAAAGGGAGCGCAGGCGGACAUAUAAGUCCAACUUAAAAGUGCGGGGCUCAACCCCGUGAGGGGAUGGAAACUGUAUGCCUUGAGUGCAGGAGAGGAAAGCGGAAUUCCCAGUGUAGCGGUGAAAUGCGUAGAUAUUGGGAGGAACACCAGUGGCGAAGGCGGCUUUCUGGACUGCAACUGACGCUGAGGCUCGAAAGCCAGGGGAGCGAACGGGAUUAGAUACCCGUGUAGUCCCUGUCUCUUAUACA
RNAcentral lists this ribosomal RNA (301 nucleotides) under uncultured bacterium. RNAcentral's name for it is "partial 16S ribosomal RNA". It matches the Rfam family "Bacterial small subunit ribosomal RNA", at positions 509 to 809 of the family's 1533-position model. The record is from RNAcentral.